UACGUAGGGAGCAAGCGUUGUCCGGAAUUACUGGGCGUAAAGGGCGCGUAGGCGGGAUUUUAAGUCAGGUGUGAAAACUCUGGGCUCAACUUAGAGACUGCACUUGAAACUGAAAUUCUUGAGGACAGGAGAGGAAAGUGGAAUUCCUAGUGUAGCGGUGAAAUGCGUAGAUAUUAGGAGGAACACCAGUGGCGAAGGCGACUUUCUGGACUGUAACUGACGCUGAGGCGCGAAAGCGUGGGGAGUGAACGGGAUUAGAUACCCCGGUAAUCCACGCUGUAAACGAUGGGUACUAGGUGUAGGAGGUAUCGACCCCUUCUGUGCCGGAGUUAACGCAAUAAGUACCCCGCCUGGGGAGUACGGCCGCAAGGUUGAA
RNAcentral lists this ribosomal RNA (376 nucleotides) under uncultured bacterium. Its description in RNAcentral is "bacterial SSU rRNA". It matches the Rfam family "Bacterial small subunit ribosomal RNA", at positions 524 to 898 of the family's 1533-position model. The record is from RNAcentral.